This 234-nucleotide ribosomal RNA is filed under the name uncultured Actinomycetales bacterium. RNAcentral's name for it is "partial 16S ribosomal RNA". It matches the Rfam family "Bacterial small subunit ribosomal RNA", at positions 99 to 334 of the family's 1533-position model. Lineage: Bacteria; Bacillati; Actinomycetota; Actinomycetes; Actinomycetales. The record is from RNAcentral.
CGAACGGGUGAGUAACACGUGAGUAACCUGCCCUCCACUCUGGGAUAACUCCGGGAAACCGGUGCUAAUACUGGAUAUGACUGCUGCUCGCAUGGGUGGUGGUGGAAAGAUUUAUCGGUGGUGGAUGGACUCGCGGCCUAUCAGCUUGUUGGUGGGGUAAUGGCCUACCAAGGCGACGACGGGUAGCCGGCCUGAGAGGGUGACCGGCCACACUGGGACUGAGACACGGCCCAG